Molecule: ribosomal RNA, 329 nt
Filed under: uncultured bacterium
Lineage: Bacteria
Description: bacterial SSU rRNA
Rfam family: Bacterial small subunit ribosomal RNA
Source: RNAcentral
UGCGCAGGCGGUGGCUCAAGUCAGAUGUGAAAUCCCCAGGCUUAACCUGGGAAUUGCAUUUGAAACUAAGUCGCUAGAGUUUGGCAGAGGGGGGUGGAAUUCCACGUGUAGCAGUGAAAUGCGUAGAGAUGUGGAGGAACACCGAUGGCGAAGGCAGCCCCCUGGGCUAAAACUGACGCUCAUGCACGAAAGCGUGGGGAGCAAACAGGAUUAGAUACCCUGGUAGUCCACGCCCUAAACCAUGUCAACUAGUUGUCGGGAGAGCAAUCUCUUGGUAACGCAGCUAACGCGUGAAGUUGACCGCCUGGGGAUACGGUCGCAAGAUUAAA